CAACGAGGAGCUGAGACCUAGAAGAGUUAAACUAUAUCAUUUCUUGGUACCCAAUCUAGACCGUAUGUAUUUGUGUGAGUGUUUCUUGGUUUGUUUUCAGAUAUGUUCUUACUCUUUAGCCCAGACUGGCCUGAAACUACCUAUCUAUUUAUGUGUGGGUUUUGCCUGCCUGUAUGUCUGUGCACCCUGUCCUCAAAAGCCUGCGAAGGCAUUGGACCCUCUGGAACUGGAGUUAUGGAUGGUUGUGAAUCACCAUGUGGGUGCUGGGGUUCUAGUCUGGCUCCUGUGAAGGAGCAGCUAGUGUUCUUAGGCCACUGAGCCAUUUCUUCGGCCUCGUU
Molecule: long non-coding RNA, 338 nt
Filed under: Rattus norvegicus (Norway rat)
Lineage: Eukaryota; Metazoa; Chordata; Mammalia; Rodentia; Muridae
Description: long non-coding RNA NONRATT009517
Source: RNAcentral